GGAUACAUUUAUUAAAAAUAGAACGUGUAGCAGUUUUCUCCUAUACACGUGUGAAUAAACAAAGAUAAUGGCUAGACACUGCAAAUCAAAAUAUGAAAAGGCCACUUCAGCACCAGUCAAAGGAUAUAUUUCUCACGCCAAAAAUGAAUUGAGAUAGUCACUUAGGACCAUAGACCGUUUUGUUGGUUCACAUUUAUUAUCAAUAGAAGGAGAAUUGAAAAUGGCUAGAUCAUUACAAGCUAAAAAAAAUCAAGAAUAUAAAUCAAAAAAUGAUAUUAAAUCGAACAAUAGUUCUGAUAUGAUGUAAUUAAACAAAUAGGGAAAUUGAUAAAAACAGCAAUAUGAACUAAUGACACAAGAAAAUUGGAGAAAUAAAUUAGACCGACCUAUCAAAAUCAAAAAAGAGAAAAAAGUUUCAAACGAUUUUCGAAAUAUACAAGUCCAUGUUCAAUUAUUCGUCAUGUACUAAAUACUUCAGGAUUACAAUAAA
Long non-coding RNA from Sipha flava (yellow sugarcane aphid), 490 nucleotides. RefSeq lists it as uncharacterized. The record is from RefSeq and is a predicted model, not a curated record. Lineage: Eukaryota; Metazoa; Arthropoda; Insecta; Hemiptera; Aphididae. The transcript has 3 exons.